GACGAACGCUGGCGGCGUGCUUAACACAUGCAAGUCGAACGGAAAGGCCCUGCUUUUGUGGGGUGCUCGAGUGGCGAACGGGUGAGUAACACGUGAGUAACCUGCCCUUGACUUUGGGAUAACUUCAGGCAACUGGGGCUAAUACCGGAUAGGAGCUCCUGCUGCAUGGUGGGGGUUGGAAAGUUUCGGCGGUUGGGGAUGGACUCGCGGCUUAUCAGCUUGUUGGGGGGGUAGUGGCUUACCAAGGCCUUGACGGGUAGCCGGCCUGGGAGGGUGACCGGCCACGUUGGGACGGAGAUGCGGCCCAGACUCCUACGGGAGGCAGCGGUGGGGAAUAUUACACAAUGGGCGGAAGCCUGAUGCAGCAACGCCGCGUGCGGGAUGACGGCCAUCGGGUUGUAAACCGCUUUCGCCUGUGACGAAGCGUGAGUGACGGUAAUGGGUAAAGAAGCACCGGCUAACUACGUG
This 468-nucleotide ribosomal RNA is filed under the name uncultured bacterium. Its description in RNAcentral is "partial 16S ribosomal RNA". It matches the Rfam family "Bacterial small subunit ribosomal RNA", at positions 28 to 507 of the family's 1533-position model. The record is from RNAcentral.